Gallus gallus (chicken) is the source of this 899-nucleotide long non-coding RNA. NCBI's taxonomy places the organism in Eukaryota, Metazoa, Chordata, Aves, Galliformes, Phasianidae. The record is from Ensembl.
GGAGAAACAAAGCUUGUUUAGAUUGCUUAGCUUUUAUGGCAUUUGCUGACAAAACAGACGUGCAGCUGACUGUGCUCUUGAGAGAUGGGGCGGAAUGGAGAAAAGUAACAGCAGAAAUGUUAGGAAUGGAAGUUAAAGGUUGAGAAUUCAAGAGGACUGCAGAUUCACAGUUCCAGGUUUUCGCUUGUAAUGGCCUACAGCACUACUGCAGGCUUCCUGAUGGAGAAACAAAUUUGUGCCAGCUUGCUGAAUAACCUCCGUAAUGUUCAGCCGAUCAGAACUUCUCCAUCUGUGUGUCCAUCCAUCCAAAGAACCAGAUGCUCUGAAAAACACUUCAUCCACCCCUCCUGAUGCAUCCAUAUCUGAAAUAUGUUGCUACCAUAACUGCAGUUUUCAGCCCUACAAGCAAAGCCAGCUACUGACCUAUCUGGAGCUCUCAAUUGUUUAGUCACCUGCUCAGAGAAAAUGAAAUCACUAACUGGGAGCAUCAAUAAUAAAAACUCAUAGAAAGAAACUAUUUCACCAAGGCCUAAGUCCAGACAAUAAGUGGAUUUCACCAGGAUGGGAAGCUAAGGUAUGAACAGCUGCUGCAGAGAGAAUCAAGAGCAAAACUCAAUGAGAUUCUUAUGGCAGCAGAAAAGAUAUCAGGAGUGGCCACAACACUACACAGCACUGUUCCGCAGCUACUUGUUAAUGCUUUUAUGCUGUGUUGAUAUAAAUAGGCACAUAGAAUCUAACAGAAAUGCUCAAGUAGUAAAUCUGCAAUUCUGUCAGGAGCUUAUUCUCCAUCUUAAACUUGACCUUUCCUCAAAGCUUCCAUCUAGAAACUGCAACAUAAUUGUUUUGUAUCCAGAACUGAUGAAGAAUUUGGAUUCCAGUGCAAAACAGACAUGCAGAUA